UAGUCCACGCCCUAAACGAUGAAUGUUAGUCGUCGGGUAGCUAGUCUAUUCGGUGAUGCAGCUAACGCAUUAAACAUUCCGCCUGGGGAGUACGGUCGCAAGAUUAAAACUCAAAGGAAUAGACGGGGACCCGCACAAGUGGUGGAGCAUGUGGUUUAAUUCGAAGAUACGCGAAGAACCUUACCUAGCCUUGACAUAUUUAAGAACACUUUAGAGAUAGAGUGGUGCCUUCGGGAGCUUUUAUACAGGUGCUGCACGGCUGUCGUCAGCUCGUGUCGUGAGAUGUUGGGUUAAGUCCCGCAACGAGCGCAACCCUCGUCACUAGUUACUAACGGUUCGGCCGAGGACUCUAGUGAGACUGCCUUCGCAAGGAGGAGGAAGGUGAGGACGACGUCAAGUCAUCAUGGCCCUUACGGCUAGGGCAACACACGUGCUACAAUGGUAGUGACAAUGGGUUAAUCCCCAAAAGCUAUCUCAGUUCGGAUUGCUCUCUGCAACUCGAGAGCA
This 507-nucleotide ribosomal RNA is filed under the name uncultured bacterium. RNAcentral describes it as "bacterial SSU rRNA". It matches the Rfam family "Bacterial small subunit ribosomal RNA", at positions 791 to 1320 of the family's 1533-position model. The record is from RNAcentral.